AAACUAACAAGGAUUCCCCUAGUAACUGCGAGUGAAGCGGGAAAAGCUCAAAUUUAAAAUCUGACGUGUCUUUGGCCGUCCGAGUUGUAAUCUGGAGAAGUGUUUUCUGUGUUGGACCGUGUACAAGUCCCUUGGAAUAGGGCGUCAUAGAGGGUGAGAAUCCCGUCUUUGACACGGACUACCAAUGCUCUGUGAUACGCUCUCGAAGAGUCGAGUUGUUUGGGAAUGCAGCUCAAAAUGGGUGGUAAAUUCCAUCUAAAGCUAAAUAUUGGCGAGAGACCGAUAGCGAACAAGUACCGUGAGGGAAAGAUGAAAAGCACUUUGGAAAGAGAGUUAAACAGUACGUGAAAUUGUUGAAAGGGAAACGCUUGAAGUCAGUCGCGUCGUCCGGGACUCAGCCUUGCUUUUGCUCGGUGUACUUCCUGGUUGACGGGUCAACAUCGAUUUUGGUCGGCGGACAAUGGUGGGGGGAAUGUGGCACCUUUGGGUGUGUUAUAGCCUCCCGUCGGACGCGUCGACUGGGAUCGAGGACCGCAGCACGCCUUUUUGGCCGGGGUUCGCCCACGUAACGUGCUUAGGAUGUUGGCAUAAUGGCUUUAAGCGACCCGUCUUGAAACACGGACCAAGGAGUCUAACAUGCCUGCGAGUGUUAGGGUGGUAAACCCUUGCGCGCAAUGAAAGUGAAAGUUGGGACCUCUGUCAUGGGGGGCACCGACGCCCGGCCUUGAACUUCUGUGACGGUGCCGCGGUGGAGCAUGCAUGUUGGGACCCGAAAGAUGGUGAACUAUGCCUGAAUAGGGUGAAGCCAGAGGAAACUCUGGUGGAGGCUCGUAGCGAUUCUGACGUGCAAAUCGAUCGUCAAAUUUGGGUAUAGGGGCGAAAGACUAAUCGAACCAUCUAGUAGC
Molecule: ribosomal RNA, 905 nt
Filed under: Alloclavaria purpurea
Lineage: Eukaryota; Fungi; Basidiomycota; Agaricomycetes; Hymenochaetales; Rickenellaceae
Description: eukaryotic LSU rRNA
Rfam family: Eukaryotic large subunit ribosomal RNA
Source: RNAcentral